CGUAAUAGCUCACUGGUCGAGUCGGCCUGCGCGGAAGAUGUAACGGGGCUAAACCAUGCACCGAAGCUGCGGCAGCGAACGUAUCACUUAAAGCGAUUCAGCGGGUUACGAUUGACGGAGCGAAGCGACGUCAAAGCGUAUACAAAGUCGAGUCGGUUUAAGGAUACGUUCGUUGGGUAGGGGAGCGUUCUGUAAGCCUGUGAAGGUGUGUCGUGAGGCAUGCUGGAGGUAUCAGAAGUGCGAAUGCUGACAUAAGUAACGAUAAAGCGGGUGAAAAGCCCGCUCGCCGGAAGACCAAGGGUUCCUGUCCAACGUUAAUCGGGGCAGGGUGAGUCGACCCCUAAGGCGAGGCCGAAAGGCGUAGUCGAUGGGAAACGGGUUAAUAUUCCCGUACUUGGUGUUACUGCGAAGGGGGGACGGAGAAGGCUAUGUUGGCCGGGCGACGGUUGUCCCGGUUUAAGCGUGUAGGUGUGUGUUCCAGGUAAAUCCGGUUCACUUUAACACUGAGGCGUGACGACGAGGCACUACGGUGCUGAAGCAACAAAUGCCCUGCUUCCAGGAAAAGCCUCUAAGCAUCAGGUAACAUCAAAUCGUACCCCAAACCGACACAGGUGGUCAGGUAGAGAAUACCAAGGCGCUUGAGAGAACUCGGGUGAAGGAACUAGGCAAAAUGGUGCCGUAACUUCGGGAGAAGGCACGCUGACACGUAGGUGAAGUGAUUUACUCAUGGAGCUGAAGUCAGUCGAAGAUACCAGCUGGCUGCAACUGUUUAUUAAAAACACAGCACUGUGCAAACACGAAAGUGGACGUAUACGGUGUGACGCCUGCCCGGUGCCGGAAGGUUAAUUGAUGGGGUCAGCGCAAGCGAAGCUCCUGAUCGAAGCCCCGGUAAACGGCGGCCGUAACUAUAACGGUCCUAAGGUAGCGAAAUUCCUUGUCGGGUAAGUUCCGACCUGCACGAAUGGCGUAAUGAUGGCCAGGCUGUCUCCACCCGAGACUCAGUGAAAUUGAACUCGCUGUGAAGAUGCAGUGUACCCGCGGCAAGACGGAAAGACCCCGUGAACCUUUACUAUAGCUUGACACUGAACAUUGAGCCUUGAUGUGUAGGAUAGGUGGGAGGCUUUGAAGUGUGGACGCCAGUCUGCAUGGAGCCGACCUUGAAAUACCACCCUUUAAUGUUUGAUGUUCUAACGUGGACCCGUGAUCCGGGUUGCGGACAGUGUCUGGUGGGUAGUUUGACUGGGGCGGUCUCCUCCUAAAGAGUAACGGAGGAGCACGAAGGUUGGCUAAUCCUGGUCGGACAUCAGGAGGUUAGUGCAAUGGCAUAAGCCAGCUUGACUGCGAGCGUGACGGCGCGAGCAGGUGCGAAAGCAGGUCAUAGUGAUCCGGUGGUUCUGAAUGGAAGGGCCAUCGCUCAACGGAUAAAAGGUACUCCGGGGAUAACAGGCUGAUACCGCCCAAGAGUUCAUAUCGACGGCGGUGUUUGGCACCUCGAUGUCGGCUCAUCACAUCCUGGGGCUGAAGUAGGUCCCAAGGGUAUGGCUGUUCGCCAUUUAAAGUGGUACGCGAGCUGGGUUUAGAACGUCGUGAGACAGUUCGGUCCCUAUCUGCCGUGGGCGCUGGAGAACUGAGGGGGGCUGCUCCUAGUACGAGAGGACCGGAGUGGACGCAUCACUGGUGUUCGGGUUGUCAUGCCAAUGGCACUGCCCGGUAGCUAAAUGCGGAAGAGAUAAGUGCUGAAAGCAUCUAAGCACGAAACUUGCCCCGAG
Molecule: ribosomal RNA, 1769 nt
Filed under: Salmonella enterica
Lineage: Bacteria; Pseudomonadati; Pseudomonadota; Gammaproteobacteria; Enterobacterales; Enterobacteriaceae
Description: partial 23S ribosomal RNA
Rfam family: Bacterial large subunit ribosomal RNA
Source: RNAcentral